Molecule: ribosomal RNA, 802 nt
Filed under: Alcaligenes faecalis
Lineage: Bacteria; Pseudomonadati; Pseudomonadota; Betaproteobacteria; Burkholderiales; Alcaligenaceae
Description: bacterial SSU rRNA
Rfam family: Bacterial small subunit ribosomal RNA
Source: RNAcentral
GGGGGCGGGGGGGGUCCCCAUCCUUAUUAUUAAGCGGACAUGAAAGCUUGCUUUCUUGCUACUAGUGCGCAGUGUGAGUAUGUAUGGGAAGUGCCGGGUAGGGGGGGUAACUACUGGAAACAGUGGCUAAUACCGCAUACGGCCUACGGACAAAGGAGGGGAUCUUCAGACCUCGCACUAUUAGAUGACCCAUAUCGGAUUAGCUAGUUGGUGGGGUAAAGGCUCACCUAGGCAAGAUCCGUAGCUGGUUGGAGAGGAUGACCAGCCACACUGGUCUGAGACCGGCCAGACUCCUACGGGAGGAACAGUGGGGAAUUUUGCACAAUGGGGAACCCUGAUCCACCAUCCCGCGUGUAUGAGAAGGCCUUCGGGUUGUAAGUACUUUUGGCGGAGAAGAAAAGGACCUCCUAAUACGAUUAUUGUUGACGUUAUCUGCAGAAUAAGCACCGGCUAACUACGUUGCCAGCAGCCGCGGUAAUACGUAGGGUGCAAGCGUUAAUCGGAAUUACUGGGCGUAAAGCGUGUGUAGGCGGUUCAUUAAGUCAGAUGUGAAAUCCCAGGGCUCAACCUUGGAACUGCAUUUUUAACUGCCUAGCUAGAGUCUUCAGAGGGGGGUAGAAUUCCAUGUGUAGCAGUGAAAUGCGUAGAUAUGUGAAGGAUACCAUGGCGAAGCAGCCCCCUGGACAAUACUGACGCUCAGACACGAAACGUGGGAGUAAACAGAUAGAUACCCUGUUAGUCCACGCCCGUAAACGAUGUCAACUUGCUGGUGGGGGCGCUAGGCCUUAGCUCCGAGAUAAAC